CGGGUGAGUAACACGUGAGUAACCUGCCCUUGACUCUGGGAUAAGCCUGGGAAACUGGGUCUAAUACCGGAUAUGACUCCUCAUCGCAUGGUGGGGGGUGGAAAGCUUUUGUGGUUUUGGAUGGACUCGCGGCCUAUCAGCUUGUUGGUGGGGUAAUGGCCUACCAAGGCGACGACGGGUAGCCGGCCUGAGAGGGUGACCGGCCACACUGGGACUGAGACACGGCCCAGACUCCUACGGGAGGCAGCAGUGGGGAAUAUUGCACAAUGGGCGAAAGCCUGAUGCAGCGACGCCGCGUGAGGGAUGACGGCCUUCGGGUUGUAAACCUCUUUCAGUAGGGAAGAAGCGAAAGUGACGGUACCUGCAGAAGAAGCGCCGGCUAACUACGUGCCAGCAGCCGCGGUAAUACGUAGGGCGCAAGCGUUAUCCGGAAUUAUUGGGCGUAAAGAGCUCGUAGGCGGUUUGUCGCGUCUGCUGUGAAAGACCGGGGCUCAACUCCGGUUCUGCAGUGGGUACGGGCAGACUAGAGUGCAGUAGGGGAGACUGGAAUUCCUGGUGUAGCGGUGAAAUGCGCAGAUAUCAGGAGGAACACCGAUGGCGAAGGCAGGUCUCUGGGCUGUAACUGACGCUGAGGAGCGAAAGCAUGGGGAGCGAACAGGAUUAGAUACCCUGGUAGUCCAUGCCGUAAACGUUGGGCACUAGGUGUGGGGGACAUUCCACGUUUUCCGCGCCGUAGCUAACGCAUUAAGUGCCCCGCCUGGGGAGUACGGCCGCAAGGCUAAAACUCAAAGGAAUUGACGGGGGCCCGCACAAGCGGCGGAGCAUGCGGAUUAAUUCGAUGCAACGCGAAGAACCUUACCAAGGCUUGACAUGAACCGGAAAGACCUGGAAACAGGUGCCCCGCUUGCGGUCGGUUUACAGGUGGUGCAUGGUUGUCGUCAGCUCGUGUCGUGAGAUGUUGGGUUAAGUCCCGCAACGAGCGCAACCCUCGUUCUAUGUUGCCAGCGGUUCGGCCGGGGACUCAUAGGAGACUGCCGGGGUCAACUCGGAGGAAGGUGGGGACGACGUCAAAUCAUCAUGCCCCUUAUGUCUUGGGCUUCACGCAUGCUACAAUGGCCGGUACAAAGGGUUGCGAUACUGUGAGGUGGAGCUAAUCCCAAAAAGCCGGUCUCAGUUCGGAUUGGGGUCUGCAACUCGACCCCAUGAAGUCGGAGUCGCUAGUA
Molecule: ribosomal RNA, 1223 nt
Filed under: Paenarthrobacter nicotinovorans
Lineage: Bacteria; Bacillati; Actinomycetota; Actinomycetes; Micrococcales; Micrococcaceae
Description: bacterial SSU rRNA
Rfam family: Bacterial small subunit ribosomal RNA
Source: RNAcentral